UACGAAGGGGGGCUAGCGUUGUUCGGAUUUACUGGGCGUAAAGCGCACGUAGGCGGAUUGUUAAGUGAGGGGUGAAAUCCCAGGGCUCAACCCUGGAACUGCCUUUCAUACUGGCAAUCUUGAGUCCGGAAGAGGUGAGUGGAACUCCUAGUGUAGAGGUGGAAUUCGUAGAUAUUAGGAAGAACACCAGUGGCGAAGGCGGCUCACUGGUCCGGUACUGACGCUGAGGUGCGAAAGCGUGGGGGAGCAAACAGG
This 255-nucleotide ribosomal RNA is filed under the name uncultured bacterium. RNAcentral's name for it is "partial 16S ribosomal RNA". It matches the Rfam family "Bacterial small subunit ribosomal RNA", at positions 524 to 776 of the family's 1533-position model. The record is from RNAcentral.